ACCAAGUAAUAAACCCUAGAAUCUCUCUAAAUAUAGACAUUCACCAUAAAUAAAAUUUUAUUUAUAACACUUUCUUUGUUCUUUUAAUAACACAAGCCCUUGUUACUUGCAUUAGGACAUUGUCGAAGUCAAUACUUCAUAUUUUACAAUCAUGUUAUAAUAAUAGUAUCAACAAUGGAGUUGAAGAAAACUUGGAACGCAAAAUAUGGAAGCCAAUCCCAAUUAGUUGGCUGUUAUGAAUCACUAGCUUCUCAACAUCAAGAAGUUAACUCAAUUUUAUACUUCCUUUGCUAAAUAAUGGUAGUAUGCAGACCAACUCUCCCCAUCUCAACUAUCUCACAGAGUACUUGCUACUUCCCACUGACUAGGUCAUCGAGUAGUCAGAUGAGAAGAAAUCACAUACCGUUCUUGCUACUUCCCACUAACAAAAUCAUCGAGUAGACAGCUGAGAAAAAAUCCCCUUCUUGCUACUUCCUACUAACAAAGUCAUCCGAGUAGACAGAUGAGAAGAAAUCACGUACCAUUUUGUCUUUGCUUAAAUUUGAACCCUGACCUCUCAUGAUUUUCUUUUUUUCAUCAGGACUCCGAUCUCUCAUGCUUUUCACCCAUUUUAUUGACUCUAAGCCAUACCUCGAUGGUUACUCAACUUUAUAAUGCAGGGAUCAAAGCAUGUUCCAACAACAUAAAAGACCAUCAAAGAGUGAAGAUUCCAGGCUUCAGAACUCCCACAAAAAGUUCCAGCACCACCAAAAGUGGCAGCUAUAAUUCUGAUUGGAUCACUCUCAACCUCCGGAAAACGCAAAAUUCCAUAGAGAUCACAACACAAUUGUUCUUGUAAGCUUACGAUGAAUGCCAAACAAGAAGGACUAGAACAAUAUAAGGAAACCAUAAGUCCCCUAUUCACUAUUACCUUGUUGACUGUCUAAAGAUGUUCAGGACUAGGAUCCUUAUAUUUCUACAGCUUGCCCCUUUUGUCCAUACGUCGCAAUUAUAAAAAUGAGCUUCAUGAGAGUGUUGGAGAAGAGAUUACCUGCAAAUGCAACCGCAGAAGGCUUCACAUUUGAUCUGAAAGCUAAGUUUGGGUGAAGCUAUGCACUGAAAUAAGUGUGCGCUUCAGACAACAACGCGAAGGUAAUCUCAACAAGAAGCGAUUCAUUCUUCCAACCUCAACUCUGAGGUGUUGGAUUAACAUUUCAGUGAAUAAUAUGAACAGACAAGCCACAUGUCAAUACAAGCGAAGAUACAAACCUAUCCACCAUCGCAGAGGUGGACCUUGUCUUGUUUUGGUUCAUUAACAUUUAGUGAUUGCCAACACAUGACUUGCAAAUUCCAGAGCAACAUGCAUAUCUGCAAGGACAGCAGAUUGAAGAAACGAUGCAGAUUCUUCUAAAACUAAAAAUAUUGCUGAACCUCUAGAUGUGAAACAUCACUAUUGUUCCCAAAAAUACAAGAUCAACAACCAUAUAAGAGCAGUGGCAUCACAAAUGUUGAACACUUACCAAAACAAAAACACCAACUUUUGGCAACUUUCAGCAUGUAUAUAUACCCCAGGCAUUUUUCUUAAGAUUGGCAAAAAAACAAAGAGGUUGAUUCUUAUAAUCUCUGAAUUUCAUUAAAAAAAUUGUGCUCUAUGGAGAAAAGUCGCAAAUUUUAAGUCCUCUUCCCUUUUUCUUCUAGUACGCAGGAUCUAUUAGCCAGAAUAAGUUUGGUUCUCUAAGGCUGGCUAAAGAAUGUCAUUAGUUUGUAAUAACACCUUGCUUUGACUCUUCUACUACGGGAGAUUACACUUCUAGUUCACUCAAUUUCCUUGCAUCAGAACUCCCAGAAAAAGUUCCAGCACUACCAUAAGUGGCAGUUAUGACUCUGAUCACAUAACUCUUCUACCUCCAAGAAAUCACAAAGUUCAGUAAUGACCACAACACAACUGUUCUUUAGAUGCAUAGUGCCUUUGUUGAAACUAUAAGCUCACAAUGAAUACUAAACUACAAAGACUCGUCUAAUAUAAGAGUAUAAAGUCCCCUAUGGACUGUCACCUUGCUGAUGACAAAAGCCAAACGAUCAACCAACUCUAAGAAGUGAAUUUGGAAUCCCGAAUGAUCCACUAGCCAUCAAAUAACAAAAUUGAAAGAUUUCAAUUGCAUAAUAGUACAUCUCAAAAUCAUACAAACGACUUCAAAAUAAGUUCUCUGAUGCUGCAAUAAAAUAGAACAAAUAAGAAAAAUAAGUACCUGUGUAAGGGAGUCACAAAAUACUAGGAUAUCAGUGACAAGUUUCCUAUAUCAUUCCUCGAAUUGUUGAAUGUUUAAGCUUGUUGAUUUCUCCAUUGACAUCAAGUAAUAAGAAUAAACAGCUCCAAGAUACUACAGUAAGGUUGAUCAGCUUAGAUAGGAGAGCACUAAGAGUUGCUAUAUACAGAGGUAGAAUUAAGUCAUUAGUGUGUUAG
This 2443-nucleotide long non-coding RNA is filed under the name Nicotiana benthamiana. Its description in RNAcentral is "long non-coding RNA (NBEN_LNC031888)". The record is from RNAcentral. Lineage: Eukaryota; Viridiplantae; Streptophyta; Magnoliopsida; Solanales; Solanaceae.